GCUGAUCUAGCUCAGGGGUAGAGCACCGGCGUUGAGCCGGAGGCAUGGGUUCGAGUCCCAUGAUUUGCGCCA
This 72-nucleotide transfer RNA is filed under the name Rhizobiales bacterium 62-17. Its description in RNAcentral is "tRNA-Gln". It matches the Rfam family "tRNA". Rfam says of the family: Transfer RNA (tRNA) molecules are approximately 80 nucleotides in length. Their secondary structure includes four short double-helical elements and three loops (D, anti-codon, and T loops). Further hydrogen bonds mediate the characteristic L-shaped molecular structure. tRNAs have two regions of fundamental functional importance: the anti-codon, which is responsible for specific mRNA codon recognition, and the 3' end, to which the tRNAs corresponding amino acid is attached (by aminoacyl-tRNA synthetases). tRNAs cope with the degeneracy of the genetic code in two manners: having more than one tRNA (with a specific anti-codon) for a particular amino acid; and 'wobble' base-pairing, i.e. permitting non-standard base-pairing at the 3rd anti-codon position. Lineage: Bacteria; Pseudomonadati; Pseudomonadota; Alphaproteobacteria; Hyphomicrobiales. The record is from RNAcentral. RNAcentral also lists the same sequence under 1 other name.